GCCUACCAUGGUGGUAACGGGUAACGGGGUGUUAGGGCACGACACCGGAGAGGGAGCCUGAGAAACGGCUACCACAUCCAAGGAUGGCAGCAGGCGCGCAAAUUACCCAAUCCCGACACGGGGAGGUAGUGACAAUAAAUAACAAUACGGGGUCCUUUCGGGUUUCGUAAUUGGAAUGAGUACAAUUUAAAUCUCUUAACGAGGAACAAUUGGAGGGCAAGUCUGGUGCCAGCAGCCGCGGUAAUUCCAGCUCCAAUAGCGUAUAUUAAAGUUGUUGCAGUUAAAAAGCUCGUAGUUGAAUUUCGGGAUUAGUACGUCGGUCGUGCCUUAGGUACGUACUGGUGUUACUGGUUCCUACCUUCUGACGAACCAUCAUGCCAUUAAUUUGGUGUGGCGGGGAAUCAGGACUGUUACUUUGAAAAAAUUAGAGUGUUUAAAGCAGGCUCGCGCUUGAAUACAUUAGCAUGGAAUAAUGAAAUAGGACGUUGACCCUAUUUUGUUGGUUUCUAGGAUUGACGUAAUGAUUAAUAGGGAUAGUUGGGGGCAUUAGUAUUCAAUUGUCAGAGGUGAAAUUCUUGGAUUUAUUGAAGACUAACUACUGCGAAAGCAUUUGCCAAGGAUGUUUUCAUUAAUCAAGAACGAAAGUUAGGGGAUCGAAGACGAUCAGAUACCGUCGUA
This 678-nucleotide ribosomal RNA is filed under the name uncultured Glomus. Its description in RNAcentral is "SSU rRNA". It matches the Rfam family "Eukaryotic small subunit ribosomal RNA", at positions 339 to 1022 of the family's 1831-position model. Lineage: Eukaryota; Fungi; Glomeromycota; Glomeromycetes; Glomerales; Glomeraceae. The record is from RNAcentral.